This 81-nucleotide transfer RNA is filed under the name Escherichia coli. Its description in RNAcentral is "tRNA-OTHER". The record is from RNAcentral. Lineage: Bacteria; Pseudomonadati; Pseudomonadota; Gammaproteobacteria; Enterobacterales; Enterobacteriaceae.
CCGCCAUUAGCUCAUCGGGAAGAGCGAAUGACAUGAUAACAGGGUUGUUGGUGCGGGGUUCGAGUCCUCGAUGGCGGUCCA